GACGAAGGGGGCUAGCGUUGUUCGGAAUUACUGGGCGUAAAGCGCGUGUAGGCGGUUAUCCAAGUCAGGUGUGAAAGCCUUGAGCUCAACUCAAGAAAUGCACUUGGUACUGGGUGACUAGAGGACCGGAGAGGAUAGUGGAAUUCCCAGUGUAGUGGUGAAAUACGUAGAGAUUGGGAAGAACACCAGUGGCGAAGGCGGCUAUCUGGAUGGUUUCUGACGCUAAGACGCGAAAGCGUGGGGAGCAAACAGG
This 253-nucleotide ribosomal RNA is filed under the name uncultured bacterium. Its description in RNAcentral is "partial 16S ribosomal RNA". It matches the Rfam family "Bacterial small subunit ribosomal RNA", at positions 524 to 776 of the family's 1533-position model. The record is from RNAcentral.